CCUACGAGAGGCAGCAGUGAGGAAUAUUGGUCAAUGGGCGAGAGCCUGAACCAGCCAAGUCGCGUGAGGGCAGACGGUCCUAUGGAUUGUAAACCUCUUUUGUCGGGGAGCAAAAAGGCCUCGUGAGGCCACAAGUGAGAGUACCCGAAGAAAAAGCAUCGGCUAACUCCGUGCCAGCAGCCGCGGUAAUACGGAGGAUGCGAGCGUUAUCCGGAUUUUUUGGGUUUAAAGGGUGCGUAGGCGGACUGGAAAGUCAGCGGUAAAAGCGAGAGGCUCAACCUCGUUCCGCCGUUGAAACUGUCGGUCUUGAGUGGGCGAGAAGUAUGCGGAAUGCGUGGUGUAGCGGUGAAAUGCAUAGAUAUCACGCAGAACUCCGAUUGCGAAGGCAGCAUACCGGCGCCCGACUGACGCUGAGGCACGAAAGCGUGGGUAUCGAACAGGAUUAGAUACCCCAGUAGUC
RNAcentral lists this ribosomal RNA (460 nucleotides) under uncultured bacterium. Its description in RNAcentral is "partial 16S ribosomal RNA". It matches the Rfam family "Bacterial small subunit ribosomal RNA", at positions 338 to 795 of the family's 1533-position model. The record is from RNAcentral.